GAGAGACAGAGAGACAGUGCUGACAGGAGAGACAGGCAAGGAGACAGUGCUGACAGGAGAGACAGGCAAGGAGACAGGGCUGACAGGAGAGAGAGAGACAGUACUGACAGGAGAGACAGGCAAGGAAACAGGGCUGACAGGAGAGAGAGAGACAGUGCUGACAGGAGAGACAGGCAAGGAGACAGGGCUGACAGGAGAGAGAGAGACAGUACUGACAGGAGAGACAGGCAAGGAGACAGGGCUGACAGGAGAGAGAGAGACAGUACUGACAGGAGAGACAGGCAAGGAGACAGGGCUGACAGGAGAGAGAGAGACAGUGCUGACAGGAGAGACAGAGAGACAGUGCUGACAGUAGAGACA
Molecule: non-coding RNA, 360 nt
Organism: Pelobates cultripes (western spadefoot toad)
Lineage: Eukaryota; Metazoa; Chordata; Amphibia; Anura; Pelobatidae
Source: the annotation of a GenBank genome assembly